Non-coding RNA from Paramisgurnus dabryanus, 1230 nucleotides. NCBI's taxonomy places the organism in Eukaryota, Metazoa, Chordata, Actinopteri, Cypriniformes, Cobitidae. The record is from RefSeq and is a predicted model, not a curated record.
UUUGUACAACGCGCCAAAGUUCACUCAACAAGACACGCGUGAUUAUUCGGGCUACAGACCCUGAUGGAUAAAAGAUGGAUAUUUUUUUCCUGGAGAAGCUAAAACAAUGUCACUUUGAGGUUCUGAUACCAGCUUUUACAAAGUUAUUUACAGAGUUCACAAGACUUCUCUGUGUUAUUCCCUGACCAUGCCGAAAAGCUAUUUGAAACUUGGGCACUGCAUUUUACAGACAGAAUCCUGCAACUUCCCAGCCAAGAACCAGGAGCAUCAACAAAUCACCUACAGAACCCCAUGAUGAUAUUCCAACUCCUGUCUACAAAAGUGGGAAGAAAUUCUUAAGUUUAUGUUGGGACCAACAUGGUUGCAUUCUUCUGAGAGGCUGAGGUGACAAAACCAUUCCCAUUUGUCCUUGGAUUGGAAGAUGACGAUCUCUGCCAUCAAGCCUUCGUUGUUUUUGACAGACAGUCACUCCAGCAAUACACCCUCCUUGGUGAUGUUGACAUGUUUUAAACUUUUUUUUAUGUUUUGGACAUUAAUUUUACUAAGCAGUGCACAUCAAUGUGGGUGUUUUUGAAGACUGUUGUUUACAAACUCCCAAGAACGGAAUCCCUUUCUAUAAGAAGUCUGUGUAGUUAUUUGUCAUGCUAAGGUGAUAACUCAUGUUGAUCAUAUAUUGACUGUUUGUGCAACUUAGUGUUGAUCUUAUGUGUUACAUUAACCAUUUCUUAUUACACGGUUCUCUAAAAUGCUAGUUUCUGAUUGGCCAGUCGUGACAUUCUACUACUGCUCAAAACUAAAAACUCCAAUGCUGCAAAUCAUUUUGACAGGUACAGUUUUAUAUUACACAAAAAUUAAAUAUCAAUGUCUAUUAAUAACAUAUCCGACAUUAAAUUUACAAAUGAUUAAACCAAUGUGUUUGUGACAUUUGUCCUGAAGAAACUGUUGGGGCUUUUUUCUGUGAUGACAUGCUGCCAAUACAUUAUCCCUUACUUGUACAACUUUUUACUUGAUCUAAUUGUAAUGUUAACCGGGUAUCUGUCAUUUUAGAUUGUGAGAUAUAAUACUAAUAUAUUUUUUUAUUAGAAAGUUGAUUGUUUGUGUAGGGCUAUGUACUCUUUUAUUGUUCAUGUGCAAUAAAUAUGCUUUUUCAAUUAAAUCUAUGCUUUGUUAUUUAUAGACACCACAAUGAAAGGUAUGAAAGCAAUUUAAACCACAAAAUUUCAGCUUUAA